RNAcentral lists this ribosomal RNA (220 nucleotides) under Mesocricetus auratus (golden hamster). Its description in RNAcentral is "partial ribosomal RNA". It matches the Rfam family "Bacterial small subunit ribosomal RNA", at positions 1288 to 1533 of the family's 1533-position model. The record is from RNAcentral. Lineage: Eukaryota; Metazoa; Chordata; Mammalia; Rodentia; Cricetidae.
UUACGCUAUCCUCUAUGAAACUUAGAGGACAAAGGAGGAUUUAGUAGUAAAUUAAGAAUAGAGAGCUUAAUUGAAUAGAGCAAUGAAGUACGUACACACCGCCCGUCACCCUCCUCAAAUUAAGCUAACUGUUAACUAUACCUAAUAUUGACUCAUAAACUUAUGAGAGGAGAUAAGUCGUAACAAGGUAAGCAUACUGGAAAGUGUGCUUGGACUAACA